UUUGUUACUAGAGGAGCUCCCAUUGGAUGGAGGAGCCAACGACAACAGUCCAGUGUGAUCAGGGAGAUUGGGACACACAGUGCCGUGGGGGCCCAGAGGAGCAGGGAGGAUCUCUGUGGAGGAGGCGAGAAGUCUUCCCAGAGGAGGAGGCAUUUGAGAAAUUAACCAGUUUAUGUGCCCUGAAAAAUUCCCACUUCCACCCUCUGGGUUCGCAUGCUGGCUCAGUCACUUACUAGCUGUGUGACCUCUCUGCUGCUUAGUUUACUCAUCUGUAAAAUGGGAUAAACACAAAACCUGCCUGAUGGAGAUGUCGUAAGGAUCAAAGAGGAAAAAGAAUUUAAAACAUUUAGAAUGGUGCGUGACCCCCA
RNAcentral lists this long non-coding RNA (368 nucleotides) under Pan troglodytes (chimpanzee). RNAcentral describes it as "long non-coding RNA NONPTRT001038". Lineage: Eukaryota; Metazoa; Chordata; Mammalia; Primates; Hominidae. The record is from RNAcentral.